AGCAGCCGCGGUAAUUCCAGCUCCAAUAGCGUAUAUUAAAGUUGUUGCAGUUAAAAAGCUCGUAGUUGAACUUCGGGGUUUACCCAUUGGUCAGGCUUAAUUGUCUGUACUGGUGAGCUGAAUCUCUACCUUCUGAGGAACUUUCAUGCCAUUUAUUUGGUGUGAUGGGAAAUCAGGACUGUUACUUUGAAAAAAUUAGAGUGUUUAAAGCAGGCUAACGUCUGAAUACAUUAGCAUGGAAUAAUGAAAUAGGACGGACUGAUUCUAUUUCGUUGGUUUCUAGGAUCACCGUAAUGAUUAAUAGGGAUAGUUGGGGGCAUUAGUAUUCAAUUGUCAGAGGUGAAAUUCUUGGAUUUAUUGAAGACUAACUACUGCGAAAGCAUUUGCCAAGGAUGUUUUCAUUAAUCAAGAACGAAAGUUAGGGGAUCGAAGAAGAUCAGAUACCGUCGUAGUCUUAACCAUAAACUAUGCCGACUAGGGAUCGGACGAAGUUAAUUUUAUAAUGACGCGUUCGGCACCUUACG
RNAcentral lists this ribosomal RNA (524 nucleotides) under uncultured Diversisporaceae. Its description in RNAcentral is "SSU rRNA". It matches the Rfam family "Eukaryotic small subunit ribosomal RNA", at positions 569 to 1092 of the family's 1831-position model. Lineage: Eukaryota; Fungi; Glomeromycota; Glomeromycetes; Diversisporales. The record is from RNAcentral.